RNAcentral lists this unclassified non-coding RNA (146 nucleotides) under soil metagenome. RNAcentral describes it as "partial internal transcribed spacer 1". The record is from RNAcentral.
UAAUAAGUGUUUUAUGGCACUUUUUAAAUCCAUAUCCACCUUGUGUGCAAUGUCGGUCGAUCUUCUUUAUUGGAGAUCGACCAAACAUCAACCUUUAUCUUUUAACUCUUUGUCUGAAAAAUAUUAUGAAUAAACAAUUCAAAAUA